RNAcentral lists this ribosomal RNA (775 nucleotides) under uncultured bacterium. Its description in RNAcentral is "bacterial SSU rRNA". It matches the Rfam family "Bacterial small subunit ribosomal RNA", at positions 566 to 1338 of the family's 1533-position model. The record is from RNAcentral.
AGCUCGUAGGUGGUUUGUCGCGUCGUUUGUGUAAGCCCGCAGCUUAACUGCGGGACUGCAGGCGAUACGGGCAUAACUUGAGUGCUGUAGGGGAGACUGGAAUUCCUGGUGUAGCGGUGGAAUGCGCAGAUAUCAGGAGGAACACCGAUGGCGAAGGCAGGUCUCUGGGCAGUAACUGACGCUGAGGAGCGAAAGCAUGGGUAGCGAACAGGAUUAGAUACCCUGGUAGUCCAUGCCGUAAACGGUGGGCGCUAGGUGUGAGUCCCUUCCACGGGGUUCGUGCCGUAGCUAACGCAUUAAGCGCCCCGCCUGGGGGAGUACGGCCGCAAGGCUAAAACUCAAAGGAAUUGACGGGGGCCCGCACAAGCGGCGGAGCAUGUGGAUUAAUUCGAUGCAACGCGAAGAACCUUACCUGGGCUUGACAUACACCAGAUCGCCGUAGAGAUACGGUUUCCCUUUGUGGUUGGUGUACAGGUGGUGCAUGGUUGUCGUCAGCUCGUGUCGUGAGAUGUUGGGUUAAGUCCCGCAACGAGCGCAACCCUUGUCUUAUGUUGCCAGCAAUUCGGUUGGGGACUCGUGAGAGACUGCCGGGGUUAACUCGGAGGAAGGUGGGGAUGACGUCAAAUCAUCAUGCCCCUUAUGUCCAGGGCUCCACACAUGCUACAAUGGUCGGUACAACGCGUUUGCGAGCCUGUGAGGGUGUGCUAAUCACUGAAAGCCGGUCGUAGUUCGGAUUGGGGUCUGCAACUCGACCCCAUGAAGUCGGAGUCGCUAG